This 439-nucleotide ribosomal RNA is filed under the name uncultured bacterium. RNAcentral's name for it is "bacterial SSU rRNA". It matches the Rfam family "Bacterial small subunit ribosomal RNA", at positions 335 to 769 of the family's 1533-position model. The record is from RNAcentral.
ACUCCUACGGGAGGCAGCAGUAGGGAAUAUUGGUCAAUGGACGGAAGUCUGAACCAGCCAUGCCGCGUGCAGGAAGACGGCCUUCUGGGUUGUAAACUGCUUUUAUCAGGGAAGAAUAAGCUUCUUGCGAGAGGUGAUGCCGGUACCUGAGGAAUAAGCACCGGCUAACUCCGUGCCAGCAGCCGCGGUAAUACGGAGGGUGCGAGCGUUAAUCGGAAUUACUGGGCGUAAAGCGCAUGCAGGCGGCCUGUUAAGUCAGAUGUGAAAGCCCGGGGCUUAACCUCGGAAUUGCAUUUGAAACUGGCAGGCUAGAGUCUUGUAGAGGGGGGUAGAAUUUCAGGUGUAGCGGUGAAAUGCGUAGAGAUCUGAAGGAAUACCAGUGGCGAAGGCGGCCCCCUGGAGCAAAGACUAGACGCUCAGAUGCGAAAGCGUGGGGAGC